UACAGAGGUCCCAAGCGUUGUUCGGAUUCAUUGGGCGUAAAGGGUGCGUAGGCGGCGCGGUAAGUCGGGUGUGAAAUCUCGGGGCUUAACUCCGAAACUGCAUUCGAUACUGCCGUGCUUGAGGACUGGAGAGGAGACUGGAAUUUACGGUGUAGCGGUGAAAUGCGUAGAUAUCGUAAGGAAGACCAGUGGCGAAGGCGGGUCUCUGGACAGUUCCUGACGCUGAGGCACGAAGGCCAGGGGGAGCAAACGGGG
Molecule: ribosomal RNA, 255 nt
Filed under: uncultured bacterium
Lineage: Bacteria
Description: partial 16S ribosomal RNA
Rfam family: Bacterial small subunit ribosomal RNA
Source: RNAcentral